GGGUUGUGAGGUUAAGCGACUAAGCGUACACGGUGGAUGCCCUGGCAGUCAGAGGCGAUGAAGGACGUGCUAAUCUGCGAUAAGCGUCGGUAAGGUGAUAUGAACCGUUAUAACCGGCGAUUUCCGAAUGGGGAAACCCAGUGUGAUUCGUCACACUAUCAUUAACUGAAUCCAUAGGUUAAUGAGGCGAACCGGGGGAACUGAAACAUCUAAGUACCCCGAGGAAAAGAAAUCAACCGAGAUUCCCCCAGUAGCGGCGAGCGAACGGGGAGCAGCCCAGAGCCUGAAUCAGUGUGUGUGUUAGUGGAAGCGUCUGGAAAGGCGCGCGAUACAGGGUGACAGCCCCGUACACAAAAAUGCACAUAUUGUGAGCUCGAUGAGUAGGGCGGGACACGUGGUAUCCUGUCUGAAUAUGGGGGGCCCAUCCUCCAAGGCUAAAUACUCCUGACUGACCGAUAGUGAACCAGUACCGUGAGGGAAAGGCGAAAAGAACCCCGGCGAGGGGAGUGAAAAAGAACCUGAAACCGUGUACGUACAAGCAGUGGGAGCACGCUUAGGCGUGUGACUGCGUACCUUUUGUAUAAUGGGUCAGCGACUUAUAUUCUGUAGCAAGGUUAACCGAAUAGGGGAGCCGAAGGGAAACCGAGUCUUAACUGGGCGUUAAGUUGCAGGGUAUAGACCCGAAACCCGGUGAUCUAGCUAUGGGCAGGUUGAAGGUUGGGUAACACUAACUGGAGGACCGAACCGACUAAUGUUGAAAAAUUAGCGGAUGACUUGUGGCUGGGGGUGAAAGGCCAAUCAAACCGGGAGAUAGCUGGUUCUCCCCGAAAGCUAUUUAGGUAGCGCCUCGUGAAUUCAUCUCCGGGGGUAGAGCACUGUUUCGGCAAGGGGGUCAUCCCGACUUACCAACCCGAUGCAAACUGCGAAUACCGGAGAAUGUUAUCACGGGAGACACACGGCGGGUGCUAACGUCCGUCGUGAAGAGGGAAACAACCCAGACCGCCAGCUAAGGUCCCAAAGUCAUGGUUAAGUGGGAAACGAUGUGGGAAGGCCCAGACAGCCAGGAUGUUGGCUUAGAAGCAGCCAUCAUUUAAAGAAAGCGUAAUAGCUCACUGGUCGAGUCGGCCUGCGCGGAAGAUGUAACGGGGCUAAACCAUGCACCGAAGCUGCGGCAGCGAUGCUUAUGCGUUGUUGGGUAGGGGAGCGUUCUGUAAGCCUGCGAAGGUGUGCUGUGAGGCAUGCUGGAGGUAUCAGAAGUGCGAAUGCUGACAUAAGUAACGAUAAAGCGGGUGAAAAGCCCGCUCGCCGGAAGACCAAGGGUUCCUGUCCAACGUUAAUC
RNAcentral lists this ribosomal RNA (1339 nucleotides) under Shigella sonnei. RNAcentral describes it as "partial 23S ribosomal RNA". It matches the Rfam family "Bacterial large subunit ribosomal RNA", at positions 1 to 1370 of the family's 2925-position model. Lineage: Bacteria; Pseudomonadati; Pseudomonadota; Gammaproteobacteria; Enterobacterales; Enterobacteriaceae. The record is from RNAcentral.